AUCACUUCUCUGCCUUUUGGCUAAGAUCAACUGUUAUAUCUGUUCUUACCAUUUUAAAUCAAUGAUUGUUAACUCAUGCAAUUCUGAUCCCAGGAGGCAUUUAGCAAUAGCUAGAAACAUUUUUGAUGGCCCCAGUUAGGAAUAGUCACUCACUGGAUAGAGUAGAAAGACCCUGUGAGCCAUCCCAU
This is a small nuclear RNA of Mastomys coucha (southern multimammate mouse), 188 nucleotides long. RefSeq annotates it as U2 spliceosomal RNA. The transcript has a single exon. The record is from RefSeq and is a predicted model, not a curated record. NCBI's taxonomy places the organism in Eukaryota, Metazoa, Chordata, Mammalia, Rodentia, Muridae.